This 486-nucleotide ribosomal RNA is filed under the name uncultured bacterium. RNAcentral describes it as "partial 16S ribosomal RNA". It matches the Rfam family "Bacterial small subunit ribosomal RNA", at positions 28 to 507 of the family's 1533-position model. The record is from RNAcentral.
GAUGAACGCUGGCGGCGUGCCUAAUACAUGCAAGUCGAACGCUGGAGAUCUAGCUUGCUAGAUCGAAGGAGUGGCGAACGGGUGAGUAAUACAUAAGCAACCUACCCACGAAGACUGGGAUAAUCUCUGGAAACGGGGACUAAUACCGGAUAGGUAAUCGGAAGGCAUCUUCUGGUUAUUAAAGGUUAAAAACACUGGUGGAUGGGCUUAUGGCGCAUUAGUUAGUUGGUGAGGAAACGGCCCACCAAGACGAUGAUGCGUAGCCGGCCUGAGAGGGUGAACGGCCACAUUGGGACUGAGACACGGCCCAGACUCCUACGGGAGGCAGCAGUAGGGAAUUUUCGGCAAUGGGGGCAACCCUGACCGAGCAACGCCGCGUGAGUGAAGACGGCCUUCGGGUUGUAAAGCUCUGUUGUAAGGGAAGAACGGUAGAUAGAGAAUAUCUAAGUGACGGUACCUUACCAGAAAGCCACGGCUAACUACGUG